UUUUUUUUUGGUGUGGGCUAUUUUGAGUGUUUUGAGUGCAUACCAUUAUUGUUUAUUUUUGCUAAUCCUAACCAUCAUGCCAUGAGGAAGUGUGGUUAUUUGUCUCUCUUUGAUUUUGCAAGGCAUGGAUUCGAGGUCGAAUCCUUUUUAAGAAAGGGAGGAUGAUACAAGUACGACCACGAAAAUGGACGCAUUUGAGAAUGUAAUGAACCCGGGGCUUGGAGUGAGCGAGUGAAGGACUUAAAACACACCACCCUAACUCACACUUAGAGUGUAAAGAGGAGCCUUGGAACACAACAAGGCAACCCCUAAAUACACUUGAAGGGAGCCUAGCUCUUAAAAGGACAUUUUGGACAUUUUGUAUUUUAUUUGUAACCUAGUAUAAAUAGAACAUUGUAGGGAUUUUAGACUUAGAUUAUUCAUGAUGUUGUAAGUCUUGAAACAUAAAUAAACACAAGUCCUCUCUUCUUGAGGCACCAAAACUGAAAUUAGGCAUAGAGAGUGUGGAAUCACUCUUAUUGAUCUCAUGGCUUAGAAACAUAUGCUUGGGAGAUGAAUUCCGACCUUGUGUCUUCGUAAGAGAUAGGUGAAUGUUGUGUGUAGUGUUAAGGGUUCAAGAGUGGAAUAUGCUCUUGGGUUCUUAAGAUUAUACCUUCAUUAAGUCUAUCUUACUAUCCCUUUACUUUUAUUGUAUUCUUGUAGUAGUUUGUAUUCUUGUAACCAUUUCUAUCUCUUGUUAGUAAAAUCAUGUGUUGUUCCUAUCUUGUUAUUGUAGUCCAUCUCGCCAUAUUGUUGCUGUUUUGGUGUAUUUACACCUUCAAUAUCUUGUUGUUAUUGUGUUUUCAUUGUUGUUGUAGUGAAUCCAAGAGUGGUCACCAAAGGGGUCCUCGGUUCUUCAAACUUGUGGACUGAUUUGGUGUUUGUUUCGUGUUUCCCUUGUGCAUUCUUGUAUCACUAAGGAGGCUAACAAUGCUAUUAAUGGCCAGCCUACUAGGGAAGAAGUCAAAAAUGGUCUUUGAAUUGAAUGACAAUAGUGCUAGUGAUGGCAAUAGUGCUAGUGGUCUAGAUGGUUUUAUAGGUCCAUUAUUUUCAAAGUUGUUGUGACAUAGUGGGAAAAGAUGUUUUUAAGGUGGUGGUUACCUUUGUCUGAAGAAAAUGCUCUUCUCAAUUCCAUUACUCACACUAACUUAGUUCUCUUACCGUAAAAAGAUAUUGUAUACUCCUUUUAUGAUAUGAGGUCAAUUAUUUUAAGAAACAUUUUGAAUGAAUUUAUUUCCAAGGUAUUACUAUAGGGUUGAAGGGUUGCUUCCUAGGAUAAUUUCUAAAAACCAGUUAGGAUUUGUUAUUGGCAGAAGUAUUACUAAAAAUGUACUCCUUCUCAAAGAUAUUACUUAAGACAUUCAACUAAGAGGAAAACUUGCAAAUGUAGUGAUCAAACUAUAUAUGGCAAAGGCCUAUGAUGGAGUGGAUUAAAAAUUUCUGAGGCAAGUAUUAGAAAAGAUGGGUUUUGAUUGUGAUGUGAUUGAUAUAAUCUUUAGAUUGAUGGCUAAUAAUUGGUAGUCAAUUCUUAUAAAUGGUCAGGCUCAUGGAUUUUUCCAUUCUACUAGGUGGUAAAUUAAGGAGAUUCUCUAUCUCCUUUAUUCAAACUAUCUGCAGAGGUUUUGUCUAGAGCCUUUAACUCUUUGUUAUAUAAAUCAAACUAUAAGUGUUAUGGGAUGACUAAGUAGAGUGAGAAUAUUAAUCAUCUUUCAUAUACAGAUGAUACCAUCAUUUUUAGCUGUGCAGAUAGGUCAUCAUUGGAUUUAAUGAUGGGUAUACUCAGGGACUAUAUGGAAUAAUCUGGCCAAAUGCUUAAUAAGGAUAAGAGCUCCUUACUUAAAUAUCACAAGACUGCUCAUUUUCACAUUAGGAAAGUAGAGAAAAGUACUAGAUUAACCACAAAUAAAUUCCCGUUGAUAUAUCUAGGUUUCCCAAUUAGUAAUGGAAAGAAGAGGAAGAUUCCCUUUUCAGAGGUUAAUGUAAAAGGUGCAUAACAAGCUACAAGCAUGGAAAAGGAAGAUGCUAUUUUUUUGUGGUAAGGUUGUAUUAGUUAAUAAUGUUCUUAAUAGAAUUCCUAUCUAUCUAAUAUCUGUUAUUACUCCUCACUAAGUGUGUGAUUUAUGAUCUACAUAGAAUUUUUGCAAGACUUCUAUGAAAUUUUUGGAAAAUAAGCCGAAAUAAACAUUGGUGGCUUGGAAUGACAUUUGUAGACCUAAAGAGGAAGGGCAUUUGGGAUUUAGAUCAUUUUUGAUAUUUUGAAAGCAUUAGUUACUAAGUUGUGGUGGAUGUUUAGGACAAAUAAUUCUUAUGGACUAAAUAUAUGUGGAAGAAGUAUAGCAAGAAAGUGAGGCCACAACUGGUGGAAUAGAAAGAAGGAUCUUUGACUUUGAAAUAUAUGCUUGAGGCUAGAGAUACUUUUGGUUAGAAAAUAUUUUGGGAGCCUAAAUAUGGUCAUUGUGUUUGGUAUUAUAACUAGACUUAAUUGGGUGCUCUCCAUUAUAUCUACCUAUCACUACUGCAACUAAUUGUCAACUAGAGGAGGUGAGCUAAUUAUUCAUAAAUGGUGGCUGAAAUGCGGAUCUGUUGUAGCACAACUUUGGAGAGAAAGUAUGUAACCAUGUCAUUAAUUAUGUGAAGUGUGAGGAAGAUUCUGAGAAAUAGGACAAGGUUUGGUAGAAUGAUAAAUACCUGUGGAAAGAUCAUUGUUAGAUCUGCUUGGGGCUGUAAAGACAACGAAGAAAUCCUACAAAAUUUCAAAGCAAUAUAGAUGAAAGGAUUAACUUUUAAGGUAUCAUUUUUCUUGUGUAGAUUAUGGAAAAAGAGGAUACCCAUAGUAUAAAUACUCAUCAAUAAAAGAAUGUGUGAUAAUAUUGUUUGUUGUUGUUAAGAAGAUGGUAUUUAGGAUAUUGUAGAUCACUUGUUUAUCUAUUGCAGGGUAUCUAAGAACCUAUGGGAGUAUUUUGCAUUUAUUGCAUGAGUUGAUGACUUUUUUGUUUCUCAUAGAUAGUGUUCUUAAAUGGUGGAAUUCUAUAACUAUCUCUAAGCUAAAAUUUGGUUAUACAGUUGUGUCAAUUUUUUUAUCUUAUGGAAGAUUUGAAAGUGAAAAAAUUGUAUUAAACAUGGAGGCAAGAAGUCAUUUUUAACCAUAAGGAUGGGAAUAACUAGCAAAUAUUUAUAUCUAGCAGAGUUUCUUUUUUCAUGACUAGUGAAUAUACCUAAUUCUUGUCCUGAAUUGGUGAGGUUUAUGGUUGCAUAUACACCAAGGAUUGGGUGUACUGUGGUGAACUGGAAGAUGCUUAGAAAAGGUCAAUAUAAAUGCAACUUUGAUAGAACUUCAAAGGAAAUUCCUGGCACACGAUCUAUUACAAUUUGUAUUAGAGAUGAUGUUGGGGAUAUGAUAUAAGCAGAAGGCAGAAGAAUUGAGGAUACUACAAACUUGGUGGUUGAAGUUGUGGAUUUGAGGAUAGGACUAGAAUAAUUCAUUAGUCAUAGUCUCUUGCCUUUCACGACCCGAUUUCAUGAGUCAUGAUGGAACCUACUUUAUCCCACUAGUAGGUAAGCCAAACCGUAGCCUAAAACUACAAGUAAUGGGCUAGUUGGUGGAAGAUGUCAAAAAUUCCGGAAUUAUGCAAGUAAAUUGAUUACAAACCAUAAAACAAAAGGAUAAUAGCUCUAGUGAAGAGAAAUAAUGAAAAUAGAAAUAAAGUUCCCCGACCUACUAAGGUCGGUACAAGAGACUCUAGCAAAAGAAUAAGAGUACUAUCAGUGUCAAAUAUACAAUAGUCUUGAAACAAAAAGACCAUCAAAACUAAAAAAAAAGGUGACAAAGUCAACUCCGGUACCAAGAGCUCACCCUAUCUCCAAACUCCGACGAGCACAAAUACAGCGUCAACAGUGACAACUAGUACUUGAAUCUACACCAGAAAAGGAUAUAGAAGUGUAGUAUAAGUACCAAAGCAACGGGUACUUAGUAGGUAUCAUCGGCCAACUAAGAUAAAUCAUAAUUUAAAAAUAAUAAAAUGCGAGACAAUAAGCUAAGUUAGGAGAAACGAAAAAACCUAGAAUAAUACUCUAAAUUCUAAACGUAACUAACAAAAUAAAUAACAUCGAGAGAGAGGGUAAUUAUAAUUCGCAUAACCAAGCCCCCAUAAGCCCAGGAGAUUCAAAUAAAAGUAAAUAAUCCAAAGUGGGCCCCCAUAAACCCGAUGCAUUCAAUUAAGAAAAAUGAUAACAGUAAAUAUUCCAAGCAUUUAAAUCUCGAUAAUGGUAGAUCCUCUCUCACCAUAAGCACCAGACUUGAACAAGUUUCAUAACCAUCAUAAAUAACCUCUUAAUGUUUGACUCAAACUAGAAAUAGUUUCUUAUAUUUCGGACCUGAACAAAUAACAAUAUCAUGAAUACUGAACUUGAAUCGAAAGUGAUAUCAAUGUUUGCCGAUCUUGAACCAAUAUUAAUAUAUUCAUAAUUGCUAGACUUGAACUGGUCUUAAUAUAUCCCAAAAACAAGCAUAGAAUGCCUAAAGCCUUGUCGGGCUUAAGAAUGUGAAUAAGAUAAUGUAUGAAGGCCUACAGAGUCUACAAGGAGCUACUAGUAAUCUUGGCCUAAGGUAGGCCAAAAGGGCCCAUUUCUAACCCUAAAAAUCUGCUCUAAGGUAAUUACUAUCCCGAACUAGGCUAAGAUUCCAAAUCACCCUACAAGGUACUAAACAAACCUCAUCACGUCCUAAUCUAGAAAUUCAACCAAAGGAAUAGAUAAUUAAAUCGAAUACGCCGAAUCACGGUUCACUAACCUGCUAAGCAAUCUAAAUUAGCUAAAUAUGCCAAUAUGUCAAAAUUUCCAACCCAAAAAUAGCAUAAUAUUAUAUCGAUACUACAAUUAAGCUCAAUCUAAGAGAGAAGAGUAAGUCUAGCCUACCUGGACGCCAAAGAAAGCCUAAUAGGGUCCUCUCAAUUGGCGAUUUCCCCUUCCAUGAAGACCUACAUGAUGCCACGCUACUUAAAUAGUUAUUGACUUAUUAAUACGAGAAUAAUGAUACCUAUAUUACAUUUUUAUGCUUCAAGUUCAAAAUCAAGUCAAAAUGCUAUGUGGGGCCUGCUUGCAAAAUCACACUUUCAAAACCGUCAGCACGUCCCUCUAUGCUCAAUGACCAUUUACCCUAAAAAUGUGUAAAUUCUUAGCUCAAAUAAUAACAAAAUCAACCCAUCAAGAAUCUAGGGAUUUAUUUCUAAAUUGGGGAACUAAUUCAUGAAUUAGAUUGAAACUUAGGAUUACGAUAAGGAAAUGACGAUUCCAAGCUCACCAACCUCAUGAUCACCCGAGGAUCAACCUCCCAAUUUUCCACCCUUUAGGGAUUUAAAGCUCUUUUGACUAAGUGAAAAAUUGUGUAAAAGGCUGAAUUAAAUUCACUUCAGGUUUCGCUUAAGUGGUCACUUGACCACGUAAGCGAUCACCGCUAAAGCAACAUAGUAUUGCUAAAGCAGUCCCUGGCACGGGUCACCUUCCGCUAAAGCGGACAAGAUAUUGCUUAAGCUACGCGGAGGGUCCACUAAAGCGGACAAGAUAUUGCUUAAGCUACACCAGCUUUAGCGGUAAGGGUUCUUCUAAAGUGACUAAGGAAGGACCAGUCUAGGCUGCUAAAGCAGCCUCUGCUAAAGCGACCAAAGGCCUGCUUUAGCUGAUGCACCAGCUGAACUUAAAUUUUUCCAAUUUUCUACUGACCCCUCCGAAUUCAUUCAAAUUGGGUAAACACAAACAAACUAUACAAACAUAUCAAAUUCAAUAUUUCGCACUCAAUGGUGCCAUCAAAAGCUCCAUUCAGGGUCUUUUUGAUGAAUUAUGGACUCCACAUCUAAGGGCUACUUUAACUAAAUUUUGCUCAAUAGCCCAAUAGCCCAAAAUAAGUCUGGAAGCUAUGAGACCUAAACCAAAGGUCCCCCUAGCCUAAAAUUGACGUUCUAAAGCUGGUGAAACAAUCAAGAAUGGCAUACGAGGUCAUUAACCUGAAGUUUAUGCCCAAUAGCCAAAUUUUUACGAACAAAAGUAUCAAAAUAGGGAUUGGCUCUAAAAACCAAAUAAACUUGGCGAUAACUGAACUGUCAGCUUCAGCAAUCCAUAAAUGACUCGAUGCUUUAAUGGGGAAGAUCUAAAUAGCUAAGAUGUGUGGAAAAGUAGAAAAUGACCUGGAGGGUCAUUAUAAAUCCACUACUGAAAGGACUUUUUUCUACAAAAGUAAAGGGUAAGGAUGAACUGAGGGCUCAAAUAAGUGGGGAUACAUGGCCCACAUUUCCCUUUCGAUUUACCAAGUAGCCUCCUCAUCUAGUAUUUUUCUCCCCUGAACCAUAACUAUUGAAAUCUCCUUAAAGUGCAACCAUCUAACAUCCCUAGCUAAUAUGAGAACUGAAUCCUCUAUGAAGGUCAAUCUAUCGUCCAACUAACUCAAGUCCCAUCGAAGGAUAUGUGACUCAUUAGGGACGGAGCACAGAAACAUAAGAAACUAGACGAACAAUGACAAAAUCUUGGUGCAAGGCCAACUGAUAAGAAACCUCUCCAACACUAUGAAGAAUCUCAAAAGGUCCAAUAUAUCUAGGGUUGACUUUGUCUUUCCUCUCGAACCUCAUUGCACCGCUUAUGGGAGAUAAUGCAAAGAAGCCUCGUCUCCAACUCCAAAUCUCAUGGAACAAAAACUAUCUUCAUAAGACUUCUGCCUAUUUUGAGUUGCCCUCAGCCUAUCCUGAAUUACCCUAACUCUAUCCAAUGACUCCCAAAGUAAGUCAGUACCAUGAGGUCUAAUCUCGAAUAUCUCAAACCAUCCUAUUGAAGUGCAACAAUUCCUCCCAUGUAGUUCCUCUAAUAUUUCUAUCUCAAAACUCUAAUAGUAGCAAUUAUUAUAUGUAAACUUUGCCAAACCUCUAAUAUUUCUAUCUCAAAACUCUAAUAGUAGCAAUUAUUAUAUGUAAACUUUGCCAAAGCUAAGUUUCGCUUCCAUUGAAAAGCACUCUAGAAGCUAGAAGUGAAUAUCAAGCCCUUUCUAAAAUAAUAACUAUGGGCACUCUAUGCAGGCAAACUAUCUCACAAACAUAGAUGCAGGCUAACCUUUUAGUGUUGAAGGACAUUUGAAUAGGAAGUAAUUGUGCCAAUUUUGGUCAAUCGAUCUACAAUGACCCAAAUAUUGUUAGAACCAUGGGAGGUGCAAGGAAACCACUAACAAAGUCCAUGGUGAUCCGUUCCCAUUUCUACUCAAGAAUGGGCAAUCUCAAAAUUAUACCACCAGGCCUAUGAUGCUAAGCCUUCACCUACUGACAACAUAAGCAAAAUCUAUAAAGUUCACCACAUCUCUCUUAAUGACGUUCCAACAAUAGUACUGCCUCAAAUCCCUAUACAUUUUGGUUGUCCCAGGGUUAAUAGAGUAUCUGGAGUUGUGAGCAACACAAAAUCUAAACUGAAUUUAAGUCACCAGCACCCAAAACACAAAUAUGGGCAUCAUAUCUCAAAAUAACCUCAGAAUCUAUGGUAUCCCUCCUGGACACACCACUCAGCACCUGAUCACAGAUGACACAAAGUCCUCUAUCCUUAAAGUGAUGACUCUAAAUCUACUCAAAUAAGGUAGACCUUACCUCAACACUAGAAAUGAUCCUUCUAGAGUCAAAAAUAUCAGUCGUACCAUCAAGUUGGCUAAGGACUGUAUGUCUUAUGUCAACGGCCUCUCAAAAAACAAAAUAAAAGUCAAGAUACCCAUACUUACCAUCUUUCGGCUCAAGGCGUCCGCUACCAUGUUUGCCUUGCCUAGAUAGUAAAGAAUAGAGAUGUCAUAAUCCUUCAACAACUACAUUCAUCUGCGCUAUGUAGAUUAAGCUCUAUUUGAGUCAUUAGGUGCUGAAGACUAUGAUGAUCUAUGUAGAUCUAACAAUGAACUCCAUAUAAAUAGCGCCUUCAAAUCUUAAGUGGAAGAACUACCCCCACCAAAUCUAAAUCAUGAGUGGGAUAGUUGCACUCUUGCACCUUCAGUUACCUCAGCGCAUAGUAAUAACUCGACCCUUUGCAUUAACAUACCGCUCUAACCAACACCAUAAGCAUCACUAUAUAUAAUAAAUCCCUCACCCUUAAACGGAAGAGAUAUAGGAGAUGAUAUGAUAAAACCCUUGACGUUCCAAAAUCUUAACUCAUACUCCUUACACUAUUGGAAAAUGAAACCUCCUUAUGGGUUAAUUUGGUCAUCGACACUACAAUAGUAACAAAACCAUCAAUGAGCCACCUGUAGUAACCAGCCAAACCAAUAGAGUUAUGAACUUCAUAUGGAGAUAUAGGCCUGGUCUAAUUACAAAUAGCCUCAAUCUUCUCCAGAUCCACCAUAAUCUCAUCCUUAGACACCAUAUGUCCUAGGAAUCUAACUAACUCAAGCCAGAACUCACACUUUGAGAAUUUGGCAAAGAGCCUAUGAUUUAUAAAAGUCUGGAGCACAAUCCUCAAAUGUUGCAUAUGUUUCUCCCUACUCCUUGAAUACAAAAGAAUGUCAUCAAUGAACACAAUCACAGUGAAGUCUAAAUAAGGUUGAACAUGCGGUUAAUCAAAUCCAUAAAUGCAGUUGCGAUAUUGGUCAACCCAAAAGACAUCACCAGGAACUCAUAAUGGCCAUAACUAGUUCUUGAGGCUAUCUUUUGGAUAUCUACAACCCAAAUCCUCAAUUGAUGAUAAUCGAAUCUCAAGUCAAUCUUAGAGAGUACGACUCAUCUAUGAAGCUGGUUAAAAGUCAAUAAUAUGAGGCAUAGGAUAUUUAUUCUUUAUUGUUAGCUUAUUCAACUACUUGUAAUCGAUACACACACAAAAAGAACUAUUUUUUUCUUCACAAACUAGACAGGAGCACCCUAAGAUGACACAUUUGGCCUAAUGAAACCCCCAACUAAAAGAUACUGAAGUUGAUAAUUUAGAUCCUUAAUCUUGGUAGGAUCCACACAGUAAGGUUCCGUAGAAGUAAGUUGGGUGCCCAUCCCAUGAUCAAUAAUAAAAUAAAUAUCAUGCUCUAGAAGAAGACCAGGUAGAUUGUGUAAUGACCCUCUAGUUCAUUUUUUGCAUUUUAAAAUUUUUUUGCCAUUCAAAGAUUUCUUAUAGAUGCACUAUGUAAUUUGUGACUUCCUGGAUUUGACAAUUUAGUUACUAGGCAGUUCAUUUGGAUUUUAGAGCUAAUUCCUUAUUUUCAAGUCUUUAUCAAUAAGAAUUGCUUAUUGGGUAUAAACUUUAGGUUAACAACUACGUAUAGCAAUUCUGACAGUACCAUCAGCUUUGGAAUAUCAAAUUUAUGCUUGGGGACUAUUCAUUUAGGUCCCAAGUCUUCCAAAAUCAUUUUGGGAAAGCCCAAAUCCUCAAUUGAUGAUAAUCAAAUCUCAAGUCAAUCUUAGAGAGCACGACUCCUCUAUGAAGCUGGUAAAAAGUCAAUAAUAUGAGGCAUAGGAUAUUUAUUCUUUACUGUUAGCUUAUUCAACUACUUGUAAUCGAUACACACACAAGGAACUAUUUAUUUCUUCACAAACUAGACAAGAGCACCCUAAGAUGACACACUUGGCCUAAUGAAACCCUCAACUAAAAGAUACUGAAGUUGAUAAUUUAGAUACUUAAUCUUGGUAGGAUCCACACAGUAAGGUCCAUAGAAGUAAGUUGGGUGCCCAUUCCAUGAUCAAUAAUAAAAUCAAUAUCAUGCUCUAGAAGAAGACCAGGUAGAUUGUGUAAUGACCCUCUAGUUCAUUUUUUGCAUUUUAAAAUUUUUUUGCCAUUCAAAGAUUUCUUAUAGAUGCACUAUGUAAUUUGAGACUUACUGGAUCUGACAAUUUCGUUACUAGGCAGUUCAUUUGGAUUUUAUAGCUAAUUCCUUAUUUUCAAGUCUUUAUCAAUAAGAAUUGCUUAUCGGGUAUAAACUUUAGGUUAACAACUUGGUAUAGCAAUUCUGACAGUACCAUCAGCUUUGGAAUAUCAAAUUGAUACUUGGGGACUAUUCAUUUUAGGUCCCAAGUUUUCCAAAAUCAUUUUGGGAAAUUGAGUAGAAUUUGAUAAAAGUGUCCCUUAGGUGUGGGUCCCAUAUUUCAUUGAAAUGAUCCUGUAUUGAAAUUUUAAUAGCACCACUGAGUCCAGAAUGUCAAAUUUGAUAGGGUAGCCAUGUAUUAAAAUUUUAAUAGCACCACUGAGUCUAGAAUGUCAAAUUUGAUAGGGUAGCAUUAUUUGAUUGCAUUCAUGGGAUUCUGAAUAAAUCUCAAGGGGGCGGUGGGAACUCUGCAAAUCCAAGGUUAGCUGGUGCAUAGACUUAGUUGGUGUAUCCGCUAAAGAGGACCUUUGGUCGCUUUAGCGGCUAAGUGGUCACUUUAGUGGCCAAGGCUAGUCCCACCUUAAUAUUUUUAGCAGAACUAUUACCAUUAUAGCGACUGUCGCUUAAGUUUGACCUCAUCCACUUUAGUGGAGGUUGGCCCUAGCCAGGAAGCGCAUUAGCGGUGACCGGUUAAGCGGCACCUUGGAAGGCAUUUAUUUCGGCACUUCACUUGAUUUUCUACACUUUUCCCUAAGUUCAAAGAGCUUCAAAGACAUAGAGAGUGUGGAAAACUAAGAAGUUGAUCCUUGGGUGAUCAUGGGGUAUUUUUGAGAAUGGAACAGUCAUUUCUUUGUCAUAAUCCACAUAAGAUUUGGUCUAAUUAUUGAUUUAAUUCUAUGAUUUAGUAAUGAAUACCUAGCUUCUUGAUGGGUGAUUUUAGCAUCAUUUGAGCUCAACAUUUACCUAUUCUUAAGGGUAAAUGAUGCUUGAGCAUAGGGGGUUGUGUUGACGGUUUUGAAAGUGAGAUUCCGUAAGCAGUCUCCCAUAUGCAAUGUCGACUUGAUUUUGUACCUAAAGCAUAAAAAUGUGAUAUAGAUUUCAAUAUUCUCAUAUUAAUGUGUAGAACCCUAUUUUGAUAGUGUGGCAUAGUACAGAGGCUUCUCAUAAGGGGAAAUUACCAAUUUAACAGACUUUAUUAGGCAUUCUUCAGUGUCUAGGUAGGGUAGGCUUACCCUACUCUUAGAUUGAGCUUAAUUGAAGUAUCAAUAUAAUAUUAUGCUAGUUUUAGGUUGGUAACUAUGACUUAGUGGCAUAUCUAGUGAAUUUAGAUUACUUAACUAGCUAGUGAACCGUGAUUAGGUGUAUUUGACUUAAUUACUCAUUCCUUAGGUUUAAUUUCUAUCGUAGGACUCAGUGAGGCUUAUUUAGAAUCUUGUAGUGGGGUUUUUCACCAUACAUUUGCAUAGUAAUUAAAUUAGAACAAAUAUUUAGGGUUAGAAGUAGGCUACUUCGACCCAUCUUAGGCUAAGAUUACUAUUAUCUCCUUGCAGAUUCAAUAGGCCUUUAUACGUUACCUUAUUCACAUUCUUGAUCCAAUGAGGCUUUAGGAAUAUUCUGACUUAUUCUAUUCUUGUUAUUGGGAGAUGUUAGUACCGGUUCAAGUCUAGCAAUAUGAUGAUAUUACUACCAAUUUAAGUCCGGUAAAUGAUUUUAUUCGUACCGAUUCAAGUCUGACAUGUGAGAUAUUAUUUAUUGUUCAAGUCUGGCUUUGGAAGGUUAUUUAUGAUGGUUAUGAAACUGUUUGACUCCAGUGUAUAUGGUAUGGAAAUAUCCAUGGUUAUAGUUUUGAGGUUUGGCUAUUUGGGAUACUUACGGUCAUUACUUUUCCUUGAUUGCAUCCACCGAGCUUAUAGAGGCCCGUAUUGGGUUAUUUACUUUGUUUAUAUUUCCAGGGCUUAUGGUGUCCUAUUUAUACUGUAGAUAGUUACAUUCUCUUGAUAUUAUUUAUACAAGUGUUUACUUAUAGUAUUUGGUGCAUUAUUCCAUGGUUUAACUUGUUCCUUACUUAGCUUACUAUCUCACGUUUUAUUGUAUCUAUAUUAUGAUUUAGAUCAAUUAAACGAUGAUGCCUACUGAGUAUCCAUUUCUUUGGUACUCAUACUAUAUGUUUGUACCCUUCUUAGUUUAAAUUCGAGUACCAAAUGCCACCAUUGAUGUUAUAUUAGUAUAGGUCAGAGUUUAGAGAUAGGCUAAGCUCUUAGAGACAGAGUUGACUUUCUCUCCAUUUUUUAUUUCAAUGGUCUUUUUGUUUCGAUAUUAUUCAACAUUUGACAUUGAUUACUUUUAUUAGGUCUUUGGAUGUUUUUACUCAUUUCUUUAUUUCUCUUUAAUUAUGCUAUUAUUCUUAUGUAUAUGGCUUGUAAUCUAUUUACUUGCACAAUUCCGGUGAUUAUGCCAUUUGUCCACCAACUAGUAAAUUAUUUAUAGUAUUGAGCUAUGGUUGGCUUACCUAUAGUGGGAUAAAGUAGGUUCCAUUAUGAAUUAUGAAAUUGGGUCGUGACAAAUUGGUAUUAGAGCCUAGGUUCGUUGAUAUUGUUAGUAUAAGAGCAAGUGUCUAGUAGGGUCCCACAGAUCGAAAUAAUGACAUUAUUUCUUAUCUUAGGUAGGAUAUCGGACAUUCUUAGGAAAAAUUUACAUUUUUCAUUCCUAAUUAUUCUAAAAGUCUAUGUUGGUUUCUAAGAUUCAUUUUGGUUUAUCUUUUACAGAUGACUAGGACAUGAGCUACUGCUUCUGUAGGCGAGGACUCUAAGUCCGCGACUAGGAAUCCUAAAAAGGUAUGGACGAAAUAGAGGUUGGGGCAAGUGAGAUAUUUAAACCAAGCUAGAGAUCCAAAGAGAGCCUUCACUAGACCCUAUUUCAUCUCCCACCCCAGAGAUUUAUCUACCCCAGACAGUGGUGGGUCAGGGGUAGCCCAGGCUCUACUUGGGUUUAUUCUUCGUUGUUGCUUAGCUAUGUCUUAGUCCAGCUAUUGUGUUUUGUUGGUGGUGCUUCAUUUAAUAAUGCUUAGUCUACAGAUUAGGGUGGUACUGGGGAAGGGUGUAAACUAUGGCUGCAACCCCAGAGUUGAGAUCCCUGUAGUGCUAGUAGUUGCUCAAUCGAUGGUCGUCCAGUUUUAUAUGUCUAUUGAGGAGCAGAAGAUGUUGGGUUGAUUCUUCAUAUUGACUCUGUCUAGUUUUUCUAUGGCACCAAUCAAGGAUAAAUUUGAGCUCUUAACUGUUUGUGAGAAUAGGCUUUAUAAUUUGGGCGCAGUUGAGGCUCGCGGGGUUGACUACACUACUUUUCAGUUAGAUCUUAUAGCUUGACAUUGGUGGGGAGGUUAUCUUGAGUCCAUGCUAGUUGGCUCUCCCUUUUUGAUAUGGACUCAGUUCUCUGAGGUCCUUUUAGAGAAGUAUAUUAUUAGAGUAUAGGCUCAAUUUCAUAAGUUGGUUGGGACUAUUACAUCCAUCUUGUCGAUCGACUAUGAGUGAAUUUAGUAUGUUGUUCGGAGACUGAGACAUCUUUUUUGCAUGGAUACAUAGUGUUUCGUUGCUACUAACAAAUCUUUUAUUGGGGCUUCUGAUCAUACCCAGAUCAUGGAGGAGAUGCAUUAUGAGGUUCAAGGGGUAGUGAUAAGAGACCACGCUAUCAUGGUAGUUUAAGUGGGAGCCAGAGUGGCUCAUAUUUUAGAGGCAAAGGUUCUCAGGGUAGGUACCCCCCACAACAGUCUUAGCAAAAUCAGGUUCAGUCAAGUAGACCCAUUCAUAUCAUACUUCAUCUUACCGAAGGGGAUCAACCGAAUUAUAGUGAUCAUCCUGGCUAGAGUAAUGGUCAGCCUUCUAGAGAUGCAUAUUCUAGGUUUUUAGCUGAGAUGGUUAGUUUGGUUCAAUCAGAUUUUCUAGAUUCAGUUCAGCUUUUAGAGUAUGUUAUAAGUAUGGGUCCUUCGACUAUUUCUCCAGAAAGUGUCCCCACCAUGGGGCAGUUGUACCUGCAGCAUAGAGGUUCCACUGAUUAGAGAAAUGCUACCCCAGAUUAGAGAAUUUGUUACGAUUUGAUUUCAGAGUCAUGAUGGUACCGACUUUAUCCCAUCAAUAGGUAAGCCAAACCAUAGCCCAAAACUACAAGUAAUGGGCUAGUUGGUGGGAAAUGAAAUAAAUUCCGGAUUGAUGCAAGUUAACAGACCACGAAUGAUAAAAUAUAAGGAUAAUGGCAUAACUGAAGAGAGAUAAUGAAAAGAGUAACAAAAUCCCAUUACAUAGUAGGAGCAGUGCACAAGCCUCUAGCAAAAUAAUAAGAGUAUUAUCAAUUUCAUAAUUAAAAGUCUUGAAAAAACAAACCAUCAAAAUAGAAGAAGGAGAGAAAGUCAACUCUAGCUCUAAGAGCUGACCCUAUCUCCGAACUCCAACUUGCACUAAUACAACAUCAAUGGUUAUAACUUGUACUCGUAUCUACACCCAAAAAGUUACAAAAGUGUAGUACGAGUACCAAAGCAAUGGAUACUUAGUAGGCAUCAUCGGCUGAUGAUGUGCUAUAGAAAUAUAGCACUUACGAUGCUUAAAACUAUGAGAAUAUGCAUGUACUUAAGGCUAUUUUGUUAGAUUUGAUGUAUUUUUGGAGUGUUUUGCAGGAAAUUAGGUUUUGAAUGCUAAAUUCAAGAAAAAGAUGAAAAGUGAUAUUUUGGAUGCUUAUUUGAUCUAUUUUGGGUAUUCGUUACUCUUUUCGGAUGUUCGUGACCAAAGCAUGUGAUGAAAGUUGAAGAUUUGAAGCUUGGUUGCAAGUAUUAGUACUUACCUAUGUCACCAUAUGGACCACAUGUAGCACAUGUAGACCACUUAUGGGUAAGGUAAGUGCCAGAAGUCCAAAAUCCCAAAAGUAGAAGCUGCAGGAAUUUUUGUCUGCACACAUGUGGUGGCUUUAUGCAUCCAGCCUCAAUCCACAUGUGGCACAUGUGCCCAAGGCAAGUCCCAUGUGGAAACCACAUAUGGCCACCAACCUCAACUUUUUUGGAUUGUUCCAUAAUUGUUUUUCCACAUGUGGCCACCAACCUCAACUUUUUUGGAUUGUUCCAUAAUUGUUUCCUAGGGCUUUAUGUAUCUCAAUUACACUCCUAUGAUGUUUGUUCAAGCCCUAUUAUGUAUGGGUAAUUAAUUAUUUCUAUUUUAAUUAGGAUUUGAUUUCUAUGGUAUCUUGUAAUCUAUAAAUACCUUUUAGUCUCUGUUUAGUUAAUUCAUUCAAAUAUUCAUAUAUUCAUAUAUUGAUUGAUUCAGAAGGAGGCCCUUUGGGGACAAGUUCACAAACAUCUUAUUAUUCUUGAUUUAUUAUUUAAUUUAAGACUUUGGAAUUUCUUCUCUUAUUAUUGUGAGAUUGAUUUUGUAAUUUUGUCAGUAUAUUCCAUGAUUGAUCUCAUAACUAUAAGUCUAUACUCAUUAUGAGAUUGAUUUUAUAAUUUUUUUUUGUUGGGUUGUGGGAACCCUGGCAGAUUAAUGAAGUAAAGGAAGUGUCAAGUUGUUCUGGAUAAAGAUUCUUGCAUGUAUUGGGCUUUCUUCAUUCUUAUUGAUUUCUUAGUGGUGGACAAUGUUAACAUCCCACCUAGAUUAUUACUACUUACUCUAAAAUAGGAGAAGUUACUUGGUAAAGAAGAUCAUAACAAUAAUUUAAAUAUUAACGAUCGAUCCAUGCUAAUAGGUAUUAUCUAUGUAAGAUCGCUAACAAUCAACUAAUAACUAGAAACCCAAAAGAUAAUAGUUAACUGGGAUCCAGGAUAAGGGUUAGUAAGGUGACAUCCUGACACUCAAAAGGAAAGGGUAAAAUCCAUCAACUAGUCCAAAAGACGAUUGAUGGUACAUAACUUAUCAGAUUCUGCAUGCAAGAUAUUGGAAUAGUUUGAUAGUGCACGAUAAGUCUACUAAGUUGAGAAGCCAAGGGAAACACAAUCCUAGUGUUUGUCUUAGAUUGUUUACAAUCAAAAACAACCAAGCCUUAUUACUUUUAGUUAGUUACUACAAAUCCCCCAUUUUUACUUUUCUGUACCGCCUGGUGAUUUCAACAAGUUUGAGACAGAUAUUUGGCCUAUUGAAUGGGGGAUUGACCCAACCUAAUUGAGUUACUAUAUUUGACAGCGAUCGUAUUAUCCUUCUAAAAAGGGGUAGUUUGGGUGUUAUCAAAUUUUAGCGUCGUUUCCAGGGAAUACGGUUUCAUAGUCUUGAUUAAAAUAGUUGGAGUUAUUAGGUUUUAUUUUCUUUUGUUUUGUUUAUUUUGUUGCCUAAUCUUCUUAAGAUGACAACCUGGCCAGAAGAAGUAUGGAGUGAUGAUGACUCCUUAUUUAUUGAUCCUUUUUCUAUUGAUAUGGUACAUUAUUGCAGAAGUGUGGAAAAUAUAGUGUGUGAUCACAAGGAUAGCCUGUUGGAAACAUUGACACAACUUGUCCAUAACAAUCAUGAGAUUAUUCAAAAGGUUGAUAGGUUUGGUGAAACACCUUGGCUUUGAACACUUCGAGAAUUUCCUAAGUUGGAUAUUCUAGGUAAGGUACGGUUUGAACAUACCUCUCGUCUACUAGGGUACAGUAUAGUACCCACCCUCUUGUAUAAUGAUCAGUCUAGGUUGAUAACAUUAUCUCCAAGGUACGGUUUGGCCUAUCCCUAGUCGUAUGUUAGGGUACUAGUUAUAAGUUGGAAAGUCAUAUGAUGUCCUGAGCUUGACCUAGUGCAUUCUGCCUAGGGUAUGAGUUGGAGGGUACUUUUCAUACCUUAAGGUAUGACUUGGACUUGUAUAGUUGUAUGUUGAUCAGUAUGAGGGUCCAAGGGGAGGUUUAAAGUACGAGUAAGGGUACCACUCAUACCCUAGGGUACGGUUUAGGUGUGGAAGUCAUACCCUCCUGCGUGUGUUUUUCAGCUUUUAAGCUGAGGACAUUUUAGACACUUUACGCCUCUAAACCCUUAAGUCCCACAACUUAUAACAUUGUUUGGCCCUUUAUUCUUCACUUGGACAUGAUCAAAACAUUCCAAAACACUCUCUAAAAUUCUUCAACAAGAUUGGAGGCUAGGGUUUCAAUAGGUGAUCUUCUAGAGGCUAAAGGGGUCAAGUUCUUUCCGUGAAUCAUCCUAAAUAAGGCAUGCAACUCUUCCCUCAUUGUUAUUUCUUAAAUAUCAUGUGCUUUAAAUAUUGAUUUUGAUUCUUGAAUGGUGGGUUUUGAAACAAGAUGUUGAGAUUUUUGAUGCAUAGUGAUGAGUAUUGUUUACUCUUGUUUAAACUUGUAUUUGUACAUGUUUUUUGGUGACGGUUUGCACAUGUGGGUGCUUGAUUAUGGUUUAAUAAAUGGGUCAUGAGUAAACCUAAGCUUGAUGAUGUUUACUUUGAUUUGGGUCAUGGUAAAGGUAUGCCCUCAAGGUGUUAAUGAAAAUAUCUAAGAGAAAUAACUAGUUACAUGUUUAUAGUGUUUUGAACUAUGGCAAUGGCUUAAUAAGUAAAAACUAUUAUAAAAUGACUUUGUAAAGGCCUUGUUAGCCAUGUACUGAGUUAAUUGGUAACCUUGGUGGUUUUAUUGGUUAAUAAGGGUUUGAGUCCUUAAGUAUGAAAUAGAAUUGUGUUUGAACUAAAACUGGUGUAAUAAUGCUAAUGAAGAAUGAAUGGUUUGGUAAAGGUCUUUAUGACCACAAUUUGAAUUGAAUAGUGAUUGAAACUAUGUCAGUGGUCUAUUAAAGUGAUUGAUUGAUAAAUGGUUCAUAGACCUUGUGGUCAUGUAUGGUGUUGAACUGAAGUCGUGAUGGCUUGAAUUGGCUAUGUGAGUUAGAGUCCUUAAAAUGUUGAAGUGAAUGGAUGCGAAUGCAUGGACAAAGGGUUAGAUUCCCAAUGUCGAUUAGUAAUCAAUACGACGGCUUAUGGUUAGAGUCCACUUGUUUAACAAAAUGACUUAUGGAUAGAGUCCACUUUUCUAAUAAAAUGGCUUGUGGUUAGAGUCCACUUGUUUAAUAAGACAGCUUGUGGUUAGAGUCCACUUACUUAAUAAGACAACUUGAGGUUAGAGUCAUCUUCCUUAAUAUAAUCGAGAAGUUCAAACUUCCUAAUCUACGUAAGUGGGAGGUUAGAGUCCUAUAUCAUGAUUGGGUGUUUCAAAAUGCAUGUUAAGGCCUCGUUUUCUUUCCCAACAUUCGAUGUAUCUUUAUCUCAACAUAUAUGCCUAUGUAUAUAAAUAUGAUUGCAUGUGAUCGUUUGUCUUGGUUUUGGAAUGAUGACAUAUUUUAUCCUUAUCCUUAAGUUACAUGCUAGCGCUCCAACUGCUAACCAUCACCGAAUAAUGUGUUCCCUCAUGACACAGGGGCCAGAGCUUCUUCUUCUUUUCCUAAAUAGUGACCAGGUGUUCGAGCGGAUCGUGUAUUGACUUUGAAGUAGUGAGCAUCUAUACUUCGGAAGGCAUACAUUUCAUGGUCUUUCUAUCUUAUGUUGUAGACUUUUUUUAGACUAGGAUUUUGGCUAUUGUCGGAGACAUAUCUCGACACAUUAUAGACAUCGGAUUGGUAGAGUCGUGUGGAUGGUUGUGGACUUAGGUAUGCUGGCUUAGUAUGUGACAUUAAUAGAUUGAUUAUACACUUCUUAAGUUAUGAUUAUUAGUCAUGUUUUUGCCAUCUUGUUAUAUGUUUAGAGUUCAUCCGAUAUUUUAGGAAUGAUAUAAUGGUUGGGUUAGGUUAGCGGGGCAAUCCCGAUCCUUGUUGCGCUCGAAAUGCCCAUUACGACAUGGCCCUAUUUUGGGUCAUGUCAAGUUGGUAUCAGAUCUUAGGUUUAUGGUUAGUUGAGUGUCCAAAGAGUCGUGUCAGGUAGAGUCUCUUUUAUGGGUAUGUAGUGUGCCACACUUAUAAGAGAGGGGCUACGAGACAUUUGAGAAUUUUUCCCUUUCUUGUGGUUCUAUCUCAAGCUAUAAAGUCUAAGGUCUUGGAUUCCUCUUAUUUCUAUUUGCUUACAUUUCAGAUCAUGCCUCCAAGAAGAUCUGAUGUUCAAGAAAACCCUUCUAUCCCGACUAAGGAUAAUGUGGACAAAGCUCAUCUAACAUAUGGAGUCCAGACCCAGUCUAGAGGUCCGAUUUCUGAUGGUCCUGGAGUUCCACCGAUUUCCUCUAGUCCUCUCCCAGUUCCUCAGGCUGACGUGACGAAUGUUGAGUUUCGUUAGUUGAUUCAGAUGAUUGCUCAGUUGGUGGCUUCUCAAGCUGAGUGUGGUGCAUCUAUUACUCUAUCUUCUGAGUCCAUAAGGGUUGGCUAAUUCAUGAGGUUGAGUCUUCUGACCUUUGCCGAUGUUAAGGUGGAGGAGGAUCCAUAAGGUUUUCUGGAUGAGAUGGAAAAGAUUUUGAGUUAUUUAUGACACUAAUAUGGAAAGGAUGGAGUUUGCGGCCUAUCAAUUAAAGGAUGUGGCAUACCAUUGGUACAAAGAGUGGAAUAAGGCAAAGGAUGAUGUUGAGGAGUCAUCUUAGUAGGAGGAUUUCUCUAAUGCAUUUCUGUACCGCUUCUUUCCUCAAAAGUUUAGGGUAGAAAAGGUAGAGGAGUUUGUUAAUUUAAGGCAAGGUAGGAUGUCUGUCAAAAAGUAUGCCUUGAAAUUCCAUCAGUUGUCUUAGUAUGCUCCGAAGAUGGUUUCUAACAUGAGGGCUAGGAUGCAUAAGCUUUCCUUGAGACUGUCUCGUGAGUUGAUCCUUAAGAGCAAGGUUACGUUGUUGAUCAAUGAUAUGGACAUCUCUAGAUUAGUUUUGUAUAUGCAAUAAGUGGAGGAAAAGAAAAAGAAAUAAGUUGAGAUUGAUGCGAGGUAGAGAAAAAGGUCUCAAUUAUCUAAACAAAGUGGAGGCCAACAGUUUAGUUGGUAAGAAGUCCAAGAGGAAAAAUUGGGUGAGUCCCAACGCCUAUUCUACGUUUAGUGCUUCCUACUCGAUGCCAUCGGGAGAUAGACAUUUUCAGAGUUGUAAUUUUUUUAUGGAACAAGGUGCCCAGUCUUGGGCAGUGAGGCCCAAUCGACAUCGACCUACACUCCUUGUAGAUUUUGUGGUCAGCAUCAUCGUGGCUAGUUUGAUAAGGGAAGGAACAGAUGUUUUAGAUGUGGCCAUAUUGGGUAUAUGCAGUGAGAGUGCCCUUCUUUAGUAGCCUCUUGGGCCAACAGGCCCCGAUUGCUACUUCAACUAUUCCUGCACUGAAGGGUGUUGCUUCUGUUUUUGCUUCUUUUUUGGUACCGGCACUGGCAGGAAUUGGUUAUAUGCACUUGUUACUCGCCCGGAAUCUGAGGCAUCUCUGGAUGUUGUUACAUGUAUGUUUAAAUUUUUCUUUCGUUACGUGUAUUGUUUACUUGAUCCAGGGUCCUCUCUCUCUUUAUGACCCAUUUGUGUCUAUGCAUUUUGGUUUUGGUCUUGAGCAAUUCCUUUGUAGUUGUUAAAAGAAUCCAUAAGGGGUUUGUGGUAUCUGUUAAUGGUAGGGAAACUCUUGUAGACUUGAUAGGCUUGGACAUGGUUGAUUUUGAUAGGCUUGGACAUGGUUGAUUUUAAUAUUAUUCUAGGAAUGGAUUGGUUGGAUUCGUGCUACGCUUCUUUAGAUUGUCGGACUCGUAAGGUCAUGUUUAAAUUCCCUAAUGUUCUAGUUAUUGUAUGGGAAGGGGUUCUUUAGUGCCUAGAGGGAGGUUCAUCUCAUAUCUUAGAGCCUAAAAGUUGAUUUCCAAAGGGUGUUUGUAUCAUUUAGACCGAGUUAAAGAUUCUAACUAAGAAGGUCCUUCUCUAGAAUCCAUUCUCGUGGUUAAUGAGUUUCCAGAAGUCUUUCAUGAUGAUCUUCCUGGCAUUUCUCUCGAUAGGGAAAUCGACUUUAGGGUUGAUCUUGUUUUAAACACACGUCCAAUUUUCAUCCCUCCUUAUAGAAUGGCUCAGGCAGAGUUGAAAGACCUUAAAGAGUAAUUGAAUGAUCUCUUAGAUAAAGGUUUCAUUCGUCCUAGUGUGUCUCCUUGGGAUUCUCUUGUGUUUUUUGUGAGUAAGAAGGACGAUUCCCUUCAAAUGUGCAUUGAUUAUUGUCAGUUGAACAAGGUAACCAUAAAGAAAAAGUAUCCUCUUCCUAGGAUCGAUGAUUUGUUUUAUCAGCUUCAAGGUGAGAAGUGUUUCUCUAAGAUUGAUCUUAGGUCGGGUUAUCAUCAGCUUAAGAUUAAGGAAGCAGAUAUCCCUAAGACUGCCUUCAAGACCUGGUACGGUCAUUAUGAGUUCCUAGUUAUUUCUUUUGGGUUGACCAAUGCCCCUGCGACAUUUAUGGACUUGAUAAAUAAGGUCUUCUAUCAGUUUCUGGAUUUUUUUGUCAUUAUCUUCAUUGAUGACAUCUUGGUGUAUUCUAAGAGUGAUGCGGAUCCUGUCGAUCACCUUCGUGUUGUGUUUCAAACCUUAAAGAAUCAUCGUUUGUAUGCCAAGUUCUCAAAGUGUGAGUUUUAGUUGAACGUUGUGACUUUUCUUGGUCAAGUUAUCUCUAGUGAAGAAAUCAUGGUGGAUCCACAAAAGGUUGUAGCAGUUAAGAAAUGGCCUAGACCUGCGACUCCAAUCGAUAUUUGGAGCUUCUUGGAUCUAGCCUGUUACUAUAGGAGAUUUGUGGAAAGUUUUUCGACUGUAGCUACCCCAUUAACUAAGUUGACCCCGAAGAAGGUCAAAUUCAUAUGAUCGAAUGCGUGUGAGGGUAGUUUUGAGAAGUUAAGGGAUAAGUUGACUUUAGCUCUAGUUUUGACCUUUCUCGAGGGUAAUGAUGUCAUUGUAAUGUAUUGUGAUGCUUUUCGUGUUGGGAUUGGUUGUGUAUUGAUGUAGUAUAGUAGGGUGGUGGCCUAUGCUUCUAGGCAAUUGAAAGUUCAUAAGAAGAACUACCCUACUCAUGAUUUGGAGUUGUUGGCCAUGGUAUUUGCGUUGAAGAUUUGGCGACACUAUCUCUAUGGGGUUCACGUUGACAUAUUUUCUGAUCAUAAGAGCCUACAUGUGUGUUUACUCAAAAGGUGUUGAAUCUCAGGCAGGGGAGAUGGCUUGAGUUACUGAAGGACAACGAUAUGAGUCUCCAUUACCAUCCAAGUAAAGCUAACGUAGUUGUUGGUGCUCUUAGCAAGUUAUCCCUAGGGAGUUUAGCUCAUGUGGAUAAGGAUAAGUGGGAGUUGGUGAAGGACAUUCACCGUUUGGCUAAUCUUGGAGUUUGUCUCACAGAUUCUAACGAUAGUGGUGUAUUUGUGCAUCAGGUAUCGCAGUCGUCUCUUGUUGUUAAGAUAAGGAAAAAGCAAAUGUUAAAUCUCGAUUUUAUGAGUAUUAAGAGUAGUGUGGAUCAACAAAAGGUUAUCAAUUUUAUGAUUGGUGGUGAUUUGUAUCUUGAGGUACCAAGAUAGGCUAUGCAUUUCCAAUGCCGAUGGAUUGAGGGAAAGGAUUAUGGACGAGUCUUAUGGAUCUUGGUAUGUUGUUCAUCUCGGUUCUAUGAAGAUGUAUCAUUAUCUUAGGGAGUUUUAUUGGUGGAAUAAUAUGAAAUGAGAUGUGGCUAGCUAUGUGGCUAAGUGUAUGGUGUGUCAAUAAGUGAAAGUUGAGCACUUGAGACCCGAGGGUUUAUACCAAGAGAUUGAGUUGCCCAGAUGGAAGUGGGAGGCAAUUAAUAUGGAUUUCGUCACUGGUCUUCCCAAUAUCGGAAUCAAUGUCAUUCUAUUUGGGUUAUUAUGGAUAGAAUAACAAAGUCCGCUCACUUCCUAUCGGUGAGGACUAGUUACGCGGUGGAGAAUUAUGCUAAGUUGUAUCUUGCAGAGAUUGUGAAGUUUCCUAGUGCUCUAGUUUCUAUCAUCUCAGAUCAUGGUACUCCAUUCUCAUCUCACUUUUGGAAGUUGUUCCAGAAAGGUUUGGAGACUAAUGUGUGCCUUAAUACCGCUUUCCACCCUCAGUCGAAUGGACAAGCGGAGAGGACUAUCCAAACUUUGGAAAAUAUGCUCCAUGUAUGAUUGAUUAUGGUGGUAGUUGGUACGACCACUUACCUUUAUGGAAUUCCCCUAUAACAAUAGUUACCAUUCUAGCAUUGGUAUGGCUCCUUUUGAGGCGUUGUAUGGUAGGAGAUAUCAUUCUCCUAUUGGGUGGUAUGAAGUUGGUGAGGGUAAGUUGCUUUGCCCUGAUUUGGUUCACCAAGCCUUGGAGAAGGUGGAGGUGAUUCGUGAUAGGUUGAAAGCCGCUUAAAGUCUCCAAAAGUCCUCUACGAAUGUUAGGCAUAGGGAUUUGGAGUUUAAUAUUAGCGAUUGGGUAUUCUUGAAGGUAUCUCCCAUGAAAGGAGUGAUGCAGUUUGGUAAGAAUGGGAAGCUUAGUCACCGAUAUGUUUGUCCAUAUUUGAUUUUGAAAAGGGUUGGUUAUGUUGCCUAUGAGUUAGAGUUUCCUUUUUUCUAGCUUGAGCUCCAUUCAUUCGGUUUUCCAUGUCUCUAUAUUGCGUAAAUGUAUAGGCGAUCCUUCAUUGGUUGUUCCCUCGGAAGAUGUUGGUAUUUCGAACUCUUUGUCCUAUGAGGAGGUCCCGGUGAAGAUCUUGGAUUAACAAGUUCGCCGAUUUUGAACGAAAGAGUUGGCAUCGAUAAAGGUUCUAUGGAGGAACCAAAAAUCCAAGGAAGCUACUUGGGAGGCGGAAAAGGACAUGAAGUUUAAGUAUCUGAAAAUGUUUUUCAAUCCAAAAACUCGUGCUUGAGGUAUGUGUUGAUUUUCUUUUAUUUGUUGUAUUCCUUUGUUUUCUUACUUGGUUAAGAGGUGAGUUUGAUGUGAGAUGUUAUGUUAACUUGUGCUUGUGCUUGCCUUAACCGUCAUUCGAGGAUAAUGAUACAAGUGGGGGAGAAUUGAAACACCUUGGCUCUGAACCAUUAGAGAAUUUCCUAAGUUUGAGAUUCUGGGUAGACUACAGUUUAAGCAUACAUCUCGUCUGCUAGGGUACGGUAUAGUACCCACCCUAUUGUAUGAUGAUCAGUCUAGGUUGAUAACAUUUUUUCCAAGGUACGGUUAGGCCUCUAGUCGUAUGUUAAGGUACCAGUCGUAAGUUGGCGUAUGAUGUUUUGAGCUUGACCUAGUGCAUUCUGCCAAGGGUACGAGUUGUAGGGUACUUCUCAAACCUUAGGGUACUACUUGGCCUUGCAUGGUCAUAUGUUGAUCAGUAUGGGGGACCAAAGGGAGGUUUAGGGUAUUAGUAAAGGUACCACUCGUACCCUAGGGUACGAUUUAGGUGUGGAAGUCAUACCCUCUUACGUAUGUUUUUCAGCCUUUAAGCUAGGGAUAUUUUAGACAUCUCCCGCCCUUAAACCCUUAUGACCCACGACUUAUAACAUUUUUGUUCCUUCAUUCUUCACUUGGACAAGAUCAAAACAUUCCAAAACACUCUCUAAACUUCUUCAACAAGAUUAGAGGUUAGGGUUCCAGAGGUAUUCUUUUAGAGGCUAAAGCGGUCAAGUUCUUUUCUUGAAUCAUCUUGUAUAAGGCAUGUGUCUCUACCCUCAUUGUUAUUUCUCAAAUAUUAUAUGUUUUAAACAUUGAUUUUGAUUCUUAAAUAAUAGGUUUUGAAACAAAAUGUUGAGGGUUUGAAGCAUAGUGAUGAGUAUUGUUUACUCUUGUUUAAACUUGUGUUUAUACAUGUUUUUGGUGAUAGUUUGCACAUGUGGGUGCUUGUUGAUUGUGGUUUAACAAAUGGGUCAUGAGUAACCCAAAUCUUGAUGAAUUUUACAUUGAUUUUGGUCAUGGUAAAGGUAUGCCCUCAAGGUGUUUGAGAAAAUGUCUAAGAGAAAUAACUAAUUACAUGUUAAUAGUGCUUUGAACUAAGACAAUGGCAUAAUAAAAAAGAAUCAUUGGUAAAUGAAUUUGUAAAGGCCUUGUCGGCCAUGUAAUGAGUUAAUUGGUUACCUUGGUGGUUUGAUUGGUUAAUAAGGGUUUGAGUCCUUAAGUAUAAAAUUGAAUUGUGUUUGAACUUAAGCUUUCUAUAAGAAAACUAAUGAAGAAUGAAUGGUUUGGUAAAGGUCUUGAUGACCAUAAUUUGACUUGAAUAGUGAUUGAAACUAAGUCAUUGGCCUAUUAAAUUGAUUGAUUGAUAAAUGGCUCAUAAAGACCUUGUGGUCAUGUAUGGUGUUAAACUGUAGCCAUGAUGGCUUGAAUUGGCUAUGUGGGUUAGAGUCCUUAAAAUGUUCAACUGAGUGGAUAUGAAUGAAUGGACAAAGGAUUAGAGUCCCUAUGUAGACUAGGAAUUGACACGAGGUCUUGUAGUUAGAGUCCACUUGUUUAACAAAAUGACUUAUGGUUAGAGUCUACUUGUCUAAUAAAACGACUUACGGUUAGAGUCCACUUGCUUAACAAGACGGCUUGUGGUUAGAUCCCACUUGCUUAAUAAGACGACUUGAGGUUAGAGUCCUCUUUCUUAAUGUAAUCGGGAAGUUCAAACUUCCUAAUCGACGUAAGUGGGAUAUUAGAGUCCUCCACUUUAUGUAUUAUGAUUGGGUGUUUCGAAAUGCAUACUAAGGCCUUGUUUUCUUUCCCGACACUCAAUGUAUCUAUAUAUCUACAUAUAUGCCUAUGUAUAUAAAUGUGGUUGCAUGUGAUGGUUUGACUUGGUUUUGGAAUGAUGACAUAUUUUAUCCUUAUCCUUGAGUUAUAUGCUUGUGCUCCAACCGCUAACCGUCUCUAGACACUGUGUCCCACGUGACACAGAUGUCAGAGCUUCUUCUUCUCUCUUGCGCAGUGACCAAGUGUUCGAGUAGAUCGUGUGUUGACUUUUAAGUGGAGAGCUUCCAUACUUCGGAAGGCAUACAUUUUAUGAUCUUUCUAUCUUAUGUCAUAAACUUGUUUUAGACUGGGUUUUUGGCGAUUAUCGGGGGUAUGUCCCAACAUAUUAUAAACAUCGAAUUAGUAGAGGCUUGUGGAUAACUGUGGACUUGGGCAUGUUGGCUUAGUAUGUGACAUUAAUGGAUUGAUUACACACUUCUUAAGUUAUGAUUAUUAGUCUUGUUUUCCGCUAUCUUGUUAUAUAUUUGAAGUUUAUCCGAUACUUAUGGAAUGAUGUGACGGUUGGAUUAGGUUAAUGGGGCAAUCUCCGGUCCUUGCAGGGCUUGAGAUGUCUAUUACGUCUCGUGUCAUUUACCUUGGAUAUUCAACACUUACAAGUAGAAUUAGAAGCAAAAGUUGUUGGGUGUAACGCCCGACAACCUUGUUAUGGGUGGUGUGAGACUUAAAAUUUUUUGAAAAGCCAACUGGAAGAGCUAAAAUUAGAGGAGUAAAAAAUAGCUCAUACUCUUAUAGAUAAUGUCAUGCUUAAGGAUAGCAUACUAGAAUUAUAUGGGGGUGUAAAGAAGGAUGCAAUUCCUGAGUUGGGGCGUAUUGGACCUCAUUUAAUACAUUGUUCCACAUUGUGUUUGGAUAGUUAGAUCUUGAUAGUGCCAUCCGAAAUUGUAGAAGAGUGCAAAGAGGAGGAAGAAUAUGUCUAUAUCUUGGAAUUUGUAAAGACAGUAUCAGAAAAAUACAUUCCUCAUGAAAAGGCCAAGAGGUACACUUUCAUAUCUACUACUUGGUUCCUUUAUCUUCAUACCAUCGCUGCGUGAGCAUAAUAGAAAAGCAGAAAAAUAAUUAGGGGUAAAAUUCGUAAGUUCAAAAUGGAGAGAUAAAAUUGGAGGCAAACUCUUGAUCUACCUUGAUAAAGUUUGAGUAAUCAAGGUUUCUAUGGGCUUGUUGGAGAAGCUUGAGUACCCAACCAAGUCCCGUCAUGCCGCGAUGUGAAAUCAAGCUUUGUUUGGGAGGCAACCCAAUAUGUUUUGUUGUUUGUAUUUGUAUACGUGAUUGGCAUUAGAUCUCUUCAUCUAUGAUGCCACAAGUAUGUUCCUAACUUUCUUGUUUUGUAGAGGUUUGAUGCAUUGGGGACAAUGCAUGAUUUUAAGUUGGGAGUGGGGCUGCUUAUGGGUCUUGAUGUCCUCUUGGAGUCUUUGUUGUCGUGCCUCUUUUCCCCUAAAGUCCUGUUCCGAGUAGAGCUGACAUGUUUAAGUGUAUUGUGUUUUUUUAGUGAUGUUUUAUGGUUAACUAAGAGAAAAAUAAGUAUCUAAGGCAGUUGAUAUAUUUUUAUUAAUUUUUGAGAUAAAUGAUAAUACCUCUCCAAUUGUCUAUUUUUGAACUGUGUGUAAGUAUAUAUAUGUGACUAUUAUGGAUCUUGUUAUGGCAUUAGAAUUAGGGACAUGAUAAUCAUUGCUAACAAUUACAUGAACCGAAUAGGUAGUAGAUUUGUGAUAUAACUCUGUGCCAUGUAUGUGUGAGACGCUACUUAGUUUCCUUUGUAUGUUAACUCCAGAACUUGUCUGACUAGUCUUGCCUAGAUUGUAGGAUAGUUGGUUAGGAAAGGAUCAUUGGCCAUUUUUAUGAUAGUCCAUUUUUAGCCUAAAUGGCCUUCCAUGCAUGAAUUGUAUCCUUUGAUCCCUAAGUUUGAGCCUUAUAGCCUAUUUUUCUUAUUACACCUUUCACAUUCCUAUUUGUGUUACAAUAACCUGUUUUGGUCUGUUUCUCCUUGGACAUGGUGCACCUCAACUCAAAAAAUUGCCUAAUUCGAGGGUGGCUAUCAUAGGGGUGUGUGAUGUAAAAUGGGUAUGUAAAAGGGUAAAAUGAGAGGAAAAAAAGUAGGGCUGGGUGUGGUAGAAAAAAAAAGAAAAAAAAAAGAAAAUUGUGAAAAAGAAAGAAUAAGAAACCACACCCAACCAGAAUGUGCAAAAAAAGAUUAAAAGGAAUAAAUAAGGGUGGAGUAAACGGAAAUUGGUUAAAGUGUGGACCCAAAGUUAGUGUAGUUCCAAGGAGGCUUAGUCACUUGAUAUAUCAUAUGUACCAUACCAGCCGCUCCCAAACCUAUAUUACAAGCCGAAUAAAGUCCUAUAGUGAUCCUAACUUCACUGUCUAAAAACUAAGAUAAAGAAAAUAAGGGAAGUUUAUGGUAUUUGACAUGCAUUGAUUGGAACUUCUUUUGUGAGUGUCUCUUAACCGUUCCUGCACUGACAUGUAUUAUUUCAUAUGAGUGAGUGGGACUUCUUUGUUGUGAGGGCACAUGGUUUGUGUUACUAGUUGCUUACUUGUUUGGGUAGAGUAACUUGUAUAUAUGCAUGGCUUUUUGUUGCAAUUGUAAUGCCAUAGAUUAAUUCCUUUGUGUAACGUUGUUGUGCUUCAUUAAUAUUCACAGUUGGGUUUAAAGUAUUAAACUUGGAGAAGGUAAUGAUCUUGAGCUUAAAUUUGAUGAUUGGCUUCCAUAGGUAUCUUAAGUUUCUCUUGGUUAAGCAUCGUCGUAUUAUUUUGUUAUGUUUUGUUGCCUGAGUACAUGCAACAUUCUAAGUUGAGGGUCUUGAUAUGCUAUAGAAAUAUAACACUAACUAUGCUUAAAACUAUGAGAAUAUGCAUGUACUUAAGACUAUUUUGUUAGAUUUGAUGUGUUUUUUGAGUGUUUUGCAGGAAAUUAGGUUUCAGAUGCUAAAUUCAAGAAAAAAAUGAAAAGUGAUGUUUUUGGCUACUUAAUUGAUCUAUUUUUGGUAUUCGCAACUCUUUUCGGAUGUUCGUGACCAAAGCAUGUGAUGAAAGUUGAAGAUUUGAAGCUUGGUUGCAAGUAUUAGAAAGCACGGGACUUACCUAUGUCUACAUGUGGAGCACAUGUAGCACAUGUGGUCUGUAUAAUACUAAGGUAAGUACCGAAAUUGAAGAUCACUAGAGUAAAGGAGCUGAAAAAUAACUUUCAGCACUUACAUAUAUCAACAUAUAUCAACGUGUGGACCACAUGUGGGUAAGGUAAAUGCCAGAAGUACAAAAUCCCGAGAGCGGCAGUUGCAGUAAAUUUUGUCUGUGCACAUGUGGUUGCUACAAGCGCCUAGCCUCAGGCUACAUAUGGCACAUGUGCCUAAGGCCAGGCCGUAUGUGGACACCACAUGUGGCCACCGACCUCAACUUUAUCGAAUCGUUCUGAAAUCAUUUCCCAGGAUUUCCAUGUAUCCCAAUUACACUCCUAUGAUGUUUUUAAGUCCUAUUAUGUAUGGGUAAUUAUGUUUUUCUAUUUUAAUUAGGAUUUGAUUUCUAGGGUUGUCCGUAAUCUAUAAAUACCCUUUAGUCUUUGUUUAGUCAAUUCAUUCAGAUAUUCACAUAUUGAUUGAUUCAGAAGGAGGCCUUUUCGGGUCAAACAUCUUAUUGUUCUUGAUUUGUUAUUCAAUUGAAGACUGUGUGAUUUCUUCUCUUAUUAUUGUGAGAUUGAUUUUGUAAUUUUUUCUGUGGAUUCAAUGAUUGAUCUCAUAACUAUGAGUGGCUAAUUCCAUUAGCUACGGUUGUGGGAACCCUGGCGAAUUAACGAAGUAGAGAAAGUGCAUCAUUCUAGAUAAAGAUUCUUGCAUGUAUUGGGUUUUCUUUAUUCUUAUUGAUUUCUUAGUGGUGGCCAACGUUAAGAUAUCGCCUAGAUUAUUUCUACUUACUCCAAAAAAGGAAUACUUACUAGGAAAAGAAGAUCACAACAGUAAUUUGAAGAUUAAUGGUCGAUCCACGCUAAUAGGUAUUAUCUAAGUAAGAUUGUUAGCUAUCAUCUAAUAACUAGAGACCCAAAAGGUAAUAGUUAACUGGGAUUCAGGAUAAUUGUUAGUAAGGCGACAUCCUGAGACUCAAAAGGUAAAGGGUAAAAUCCAUCAACUAGUCCAAAAGACGGUUGAUGGUACAUAACUUAUCAAAUUUUGCAUGCAAGAUUUUGGAAUAGUUCGACAAUGCAUAAUAAGUCCACUGAGUUGAGAAGCCAAGGGGAACACAAGCCUAGUGUUCGUCUUAGAUUGUCUACAACUAAAAAAGCAACCAAGCGUUAUUACUUUUAGCUUGUUAGUACAAAGCCCCCUUUUACUUCUUCGCACCGCCUGGCGAUUUCAAUACGCUCAAAAUAGAUCUCCGGUCUAUUCCCUGUGGGAUCGACCCCAACCUAGUUGAGUUACUAUAUUUGACAGCAACCGCUUUAUCCUUCUAAGGAAGGGUAGUUUGGGGGUUAUCAGCUGACUGAGCAAAAUCAUAAUAUAAAUAUAAUAAAAUGUGAGAUAGUAAGAUAAGUGAGAGGAAAAUGGCAAAAACCUAGAAUAACACUCCAGAUACUGAAGGUAACUAACCAAACAAAUAACAUAAAGAUAGAGCAUAAUUAUAAAUAGCAUAACUGGCCCCUAUAUGCCUAGGAUAUGCAACAAAAGUAAAUAAUCCAAUGUUGGAUAUGCAACAAAAGUAAAUAAUCCAAUGUUGGCCUCCAUAAUCCCGAUGGAUACAAUUAAGAGAAGUGAAAACAACAAAUAUUCCGACCAUUCAAAUCUCAAAAAUGUAAUCAUGGAUCCUCUCUCACCAUAAGCACCGGACUCGAGUCGAUUCCAUAACCAUCAUAAAUAAUCUCUCAAUAUCGGACUCGAAUCAAAAAUAAAAUCUCAUAUGCCAGACUUGAAUCGAGAAUAAUAUCAGAAAUAUCAUAUUUAAACCAGAAGUAAUAUCAUCACUUGCUGGACUUGAACAGGUAUUAAUAUCAUAAUCGCGCAACUUGAACUGGUCUUAAUAUCUCUCUAAAACAAUCCUGGAAUAAGCCAUAGUAUGCCUAAAGCCUCGUUGGGCUUAAGAAUGUGAAAAAGAUAACGUAUAAAGGUCUAUUAAGUCUACAAGGAUCUAUCAGUAACCUUUGCCUAAGGUGAGCCGUAGGGGCCCACUUCUAACCACCAAAAUCCGUUCUAAGGUAAUCAACACCCAAAAUUAGGCUAAGAUUCCAAAUCACCCUACAAUGUACUAAAUAAACUUCAUUGCAUCCUAAGAUUGCAAUUCAACCUAAGGAAUGGGUAAUUAAGUCGAAUAUGCCUAAUCACGGUUUACUAACCAAGUAAUCUAAAUUCACUAAAUAUGCCACUAAGUCAUAAUUCCCAAUCCAAAACUAGCAUAGAAUUAUAUAGAUACUACAAUUAAUCUCAAUCUAAGAGAAGAGUAAUCCUAGCCUACCUAUACAUCGAAGAAAGACCAAUAAGGUCCCUAAAUUGGCGAUUUUCCUUUCCAAGAAGCCCCUGCACAAUGCCAUUCUAUUUAAAUAGUGAUCUACACAUUAAUACGAGAAUAAUGAUACUCAUGUUGCAUUUUAUGCUUAAGGUCCAAAAUCAAGUCAAAAUCUCAUGUGGGUCAUGCUCGCGGAAUCGCACUUUUUAAAUCGUCAACACGUCCCUUUAUGCUCAAGGAUCAUUUAACCUUAAGAAUGGAUAAAUUCCGAGCUCAAACCACAUUAAAAUCAACCCAUACAGAAGCUAUGGAUUUAUGACUAAAUUGGGGAAUGAACACAGGAAUUAGACAAAAACUUACAAGGAUUAUGACAAAAAAAUGAUGAUUCCAAGCUCACCAACACCCCAUGAUCAAUCUUUCAAGUUUCCACGCUUUCUAGGACUUUGAAGCUAUUGGACUUGGAGAAAAUUGGAGAAAAUCAGUUGAAAGGCUGAAUUAAAUGCCCUCCCAGGUUGUGCUUCUUAAGUAGUCACUUGACGGCUUAAUCGAUCACCUCUAAAGCGGCAUAGUACCGUUAAAGCGAUCCCUGGCAUGGAUAAACCCUUUGCUAAAGUGGACAAGAUGUCCCUUAAGAGACAUCCAUUUAAGCAAUAAGGGUUCCGCUAAAGUGACUAAGGCGGGACCAUCCAUAGGCGCAAAAAUGACCACUUGGUUGCUAAAGAGGCCUCCACUAGAGCAACAAUCAUCCACUUUAGUGGUCGCACCUGCUAAGUCUAUGCACCAGCUAAACUUGGAUUUUGCUAAGUUUCCACCGACCCCUCAGAAUUCAUCUAGAAUCCCAUGAAUGCAAACAAACUAUGCUACCCUAUUGAUUUGAUAUUUUAGCUUUAGUGAUGCUAUCGAAAUUUCCAUUCGAGGUUGUUUCGAUGAAAAGUAGGUCCUGCACUAAAGGGCCAGUUUUAUCAAAUUCUGCCCAAUAGCCCAAAAUGAGUCUUAAAGCCUUAGGAUCCAAACCAAAGGUCCCCUAGUAUAAAAUCAACGUUUUGGAGCUUAUAAAACUGUCUUAAUUAGCAUAAGAGGCCAUUAACCUAAAGUUUACACCCAAUAGCAUAUCUUUACUAUCAAAGACUUCUAAAUAGAGAAUUGACUUUUAAAUUCCAACAAAUUGUCUGGUAACUAAACAGUCAGCUCUGGCAAGUCCAAAUGACAUGGGCUAACUAUGAGAAAACUCUAAAUGAAAAAAAAAAGUGUGGAAAAGAAGAAAAUAACAUGGAGUAUCAUUACACUUGUGUGCCUAGAAACUUAUUAUUUAUUAGUUCAAAAAUUUUUAGAUGGGAGGUGGAAAUUCCCAUGGUGUAUUGAAAUUGAGAUAAGAAGAGUACAAACAUUGAUUAAGAAAGUGGAAGUGGUGUUGGAACGUACCUUGGGAGAAUGCAACAAAGUAGCAGAUUUUAUUGAUAACAAAGUUUUCUAUUUUGUAGGUACAGAGAGUGUAAGUUAUUCUACAUUUCGUCAAUUACCAAGAGAAGCUAAAGCUCUACUCAACAUGGACAAAGAAUAAUUUCCUAAUAAGCUACAUAAUGGAAGUUUUAAUGUUGGGGGAAGGUAGAUGCAGCAAGAAUUGUGGUUCAACAACACAUCAACAGAAAAAUAUAGGCGCAAUUUGCAAUAGUCACGACAAUAAUGCAUAAUCAGCAGAUUAAGAAGAUACAAAUGAUAGAGAGUAUAAAGGCACAACAUUCACAAUAGGAGCAAAAACUAGGUACUUUGGCAGAACCAUCGCAGAAAGGAGCACAAUUCCAUAAUAAUUUCACAUAAAAAUUCUUGUGAGUGAAGGAUUGCAUCAGACAAAUUCAAAGAAUUUCUGUGAGAUAAAUAAAGCAUUUAGCUGAUAUAAAUGAUAAUAGAUCUUCUACUUUCACUAUCUUAGACAAUGGUAUCAACUCCUCGAUGAGCUCAACAUGUCAAGGGGCGAAACUGAAGCAAAAUUGACAAUUAUAAUCAUGUUAUUACAUUAACGGGUAGAGGAUUGCCACUUAUCUCUAGGAAGGAGCUUAGAUCUACGGUGAGCUGAGGUGAAGCAGUCUUCGAUUAGGCUGAUUUCAUGAUGUUCGUGAGACUAGUAAAACUUGUUGAGUGAACCACCCAAAACUCAGCUGCUUCUUUCAAAUCACGAGCUCCAUCAACAUCAGAGGAACCUUGUCUUUCAUCUACUUGUUCGAUUCAUUCUACAUCUGUGCAAUAAUGGAGAUUUCACAGUGAUGAAGAUAUAGAAGACGACUUUCUGUUUUUCCCUUUCGUUUGAUUCUGUUUUGCUUUCUCG
Molecule: long non-coding RNA, 33132 nt
Filed under: Capsicum annuum
Lineage: Eukaryota; Viridiplantae; Streptophyta; Magnoliopsida; Solanales; Solanaceae
Description: long non-coding RNA (CANN_LNC002662)
Source: RNAcentral